GAUGAACGCUGGCGGCGUGCCUAAUACAUGCAAGUCGAACGCUGAAGGAAGGAGCUUGCUCUUUCCGGAUGAGUUGCGAACGGGUGAGUAACGCGUAGGUAACCUGCCUGGUAGCGGGGGAUAACUAUUGGAAACGAUAGCUAAUACCGCAUAACAGUAGAUGUUGCAUGAUAUCUACUUAAAAGGUGCAAUUGCACCACUACCAGAUGGACCUGCGUUGUAUUAGCUAGUUGGUGAGGUAACGGCUCACCAAGGCGACGAUACAUAGCCGACCUGAGAGGGUGAUCGGCCACACUGGGACUGAGACACGGCCCAGACUCCUACGGGAGGCAGCAGUAGGGAAUCUUCGGCAAUGGACGGAAGUCUGGCCGAGCAACGCCGCGUGAGUGAAGAAGGUUUUCGGAUCGUAAAGCUCUGUUGUAAGAGAAGAACGAGUGUGAGAGUGGAAAGUUCACACUGUGACGGUAUCUUACCAGAAAGGGACGGCUAACUACGUG
RNAcentral lists this ribosomal RNA (497 nucleotides) under uncultured bacterium. RNAcentral's name for it is "partial 16S ribosomal RNA". It matches the Rfam family "Bacterial small subunit ribosomal RNA", at positions 28 to 507 of the family's 1533-position model. The record is from RNAcentral.